AAUAUUAAUAAAUGGUCAUCCAAUAGAAAAUCAGUAAUGUCAGAUAUUUGAACUGUUUUAAUAUCAGGACUUGUUUAUUCACAGUUGCCCCCCUCUCCUGUUUGUUUUCCCUAUGUGUCUGACAGAUGUAUAUUAGGACCAGCAGGAGCCAGACCCACAACAAAAGUUAACGAUGUAGGAUCUUCCAGGACAUUUAUGGAGGUGAUCGAAGGGAGAACAGAAAUGUGUAAAUAUAAAGGAAAAAAAAUGUUUAUUGAGUUCACCUGGAGUACAGGUACUUUGUGAGUUCAGAAAGCCAGGUCCUUGACACUGACCUUUUUGCUCAGAAAAAUAAAAAUACACUUCUUAGCAAAUUACACGACUAAACACUAUGUAGAGACGGAACCAGGUAUUCGCAGGUAUUUAUUCCUGGCUGUGUCCUCUAUUCUGGUUGCAUAAGUAGUUGUACCCAAUAAAUGAGUAAGUCACAUGAACACUGUAUCAAAAUGGACACUGUAUUAAAAUGCACGGAUGUUUAUUAAAAUUCAUAUUUUCAUUCUA
Anguilla rostrata (American eel) is the source of this 540-nucleotide long non-coding RNA. RefSeq lists it as uncharacterized. The transcript has 2 exons. The record is from RefSeq and is a predicted model, not a curated record. NCBI's taxonomy places the organism in Eukaryota, Metazoa, Chordata, Actinopteri, Anguilliformes, Anguillidae.